Molecule: long non-coding RNA, 496 nt
Filed under: Ictidomys tridecemlineatus (thirteen-lined ground squirrel)
Lineage: Eukaryota; Metazoa; Chordata; Mammalia; Rodentia; Sciuridae
Description: lncRNA (ENSSTOG00000033887.1)
Source: RNAcentral
UCUCAGUUCUCAUUCCAGCUCCCUCAACUUGAGGGCAUAAGACAGCCCAAGAGAAGUACCACCAGUUAAGUUCCCACCACAAAAUAGGCAAAAAUUGACAGAACAGAGGAGCCACAGAACGAAGGACUCAGGAGGGAGAUCAUCUGAGCCUAUUUGGGAAGACAUAGUUCUGAGAGGGAAUGAAAAGAGGGGGGGAAAAAUCGGCAUCAACCUGGAUGGAGGGCUGAGGAGGAGGAGUGGUGAUGGGAGGUGCCAAGCUUGAAGAUGAGGAAACUGAGGAGAAGAAAAGGCCAGAACAACAUGAAACAUACCUUCUUCUUCACAUGGAGAAUGAAUUCAGCAACAAUUCAAGCAUAUAAUUCUUCUCUGCACGAAAGAGAUGCUGGACAUCUGCUCACCCAGGAUCUACAGAACAACAGGGCACAUUAACAUGAAGAAACUGAGGAGAUUCUGUGGGGUUCCUCCCAUCGAAUGAUUCAGCUUUAUUAGACACAAG